CCUACGGGUGGCAGCAGUCGAGAAUCAUUCACAAUGGGGGAAACCCUGAUGGUGCGACGCCGCGUGGGGGAAUGAAGGUCUUCGGAUUGUAAACCCCUGUCAUGUGGGAGCAAAUUAAAAAGAUAGUACCACAAGAGGAAGAGACGGCUAACUCUGUGCCAGCAGCCGCGGUAAUACAGAGGUCUCAAGCGUUGUUCGGAAUCACUGGGCGUAAAGGGUGCGUAGGCUGUUUCGUAAGUCGUGUGUGAAAGGCGCGGGCUCAACCCGCGGACGGCACAUGAUAAUGCGAGACUAGAGUAAUGGAGGGGGAACCGGAAUUCUCGGUGUAGCAGUGAAAUGCGUAGAUAUCGAGAGGAACACUCGUGGCGAAGGCGGGUUCCUGGACAUUAACUGACGCUGAGGCACGAAGGCCAGGGGAGCGAAAGGGAUUAGAUACCCCAGUAGUC
RNAcentral lists this ribosomal RNA (446 nucleotides) under uncultured bacterium. RNAcentral describes it as "partial 16S ribosomal RNA". It matches the Rfam family "Bacterial small subunit ribosomal RNA", at positions 338 to 795 of the family's 1533-position model. The record is from RNAcentral.